GGGGACACGCCAGAGUUUGGAGAGCUGGGCCUGACUGUAAAUCAGGUGCGUUAUGCUGAAUAGGUUCGAGUCCUAUUGGCCCCAC
Molecule: transfer RNA, 85 nt
Filed under: Cytophagales bacterium WSM2-2
Lineage: Bacteria; Pseudomonadati; Bacteroidota; Cytophagia; Cytophagales
Description: tRNA-Tyr
Rfam family: tRNA
About the family: Transfer RNA (tRNA) molecules are approximately 80 nucleotides in length. Their secondary structure includes four short double-helical elements and three loops (D, anti-codon, and T loops).
Source: RNAcentral